GACGAGCGCUGGCGGCGUGCCUAACACAUGCAAGUCGAACGAGCGAGAGAGAGCUUGCUUUCUUGAGCGAGUGGCGAACGGGUGAGUAACGCGUGAGGAACCUGCCUCAAAGAGGGGGACAACAGUUGGAAACGACUGCUAAUACCGCAUAAGCCCACGACCCGGCAUCGGGUUGAGGGAAAAGGAGCAAUCCGCUUUGAGAUGGCCUCGCGUCCGAUUAGCUAGUUGGUGAGGUAACGGCCCACCAAGGCAACGAUCGGUAGCCGGACUGAGAGGUUGAACGGCCACAUUGGGACUGAGACACGGCCCAGACUCCUACGGGAGGCAGCAGUGGGGAAUAUUGCACAAUGGGGGAAACCCUGAUGCAGCGACGCCGCGUGGAGGAAGAAGGUCUUCGGAUUGUAAACUCCUGUUGUUGAGGAAGAUAAUGACGGUACUCAACAAGGAAGUGACGGCUAACUACGUGCCAGCAGCCGCGGUAAAACGUAGGUCACAAGCGUUGUCCGGAAUUACUGGGUGUAAAGGGAGCGCAGGCGGGAAGACAAGUUGGAAGUGAAAUCUAUGGGCUCAACCCAUAAACUGCUUUCAAAACUGUUUUUCUUGAGUAGUGCAGAGGUAGGCGGAAUUCCCGGUGUAGCGGUGGAAUGCGUAGAUAUCGGGAGGAACACCAGUGGCGAAGGCGGCCUACUGGGCACCAACUGACGCUGAGGCUCGAAAGUGUGGGUAGCAAACAGG
RNAcentral lists this ribosomal RNA (735 nucleotides) under uncultured bacterium. RNAcentral describes it as "bacterial SSU rRNA". It matches the Rfam family "Bacterial small subunit ribosomal RNA", at positions 28 to 776 of the family's 1533-position model. The record is from RNAcentral.